UAGAGACACCAACCACAGUUAUAGGCUAGAAAAUAUAAGUCUUCCUCGUGUAUAUUACUAAUCGUGCAAUCAUAGUCAACAUCCAUGAAUUCAGGUGAAGCUACUUUACAGUGGUAAAUGUUGUGAAGUAUUUUAAAAUGCACUUCUUUGUUAACUUACACGUUUGACGUCAGCAAUCAAUAAGGAAGAAAUGGAAGGACGGAAUCCCGCCGACCAAAGAUGACACUGUGUCUAGUAGCCAAUCAGAGACGUUGGAUGAGUCACCGCUGAAACACGAAUACACGAGUGGAAUGAUAAAGCAGUGAGCAGGAGUAUCAGCUGUGGUGGAUUGAGAUAAACAGGUGUCCGGCUCACCCUGUGGCUCUGCUGUAUUGAUCAGAAUGGCGGUCGGUGUGUUAGUGUGAGCUGAGGAUUGUGUUGCGUUCACAUGAACCGCAGCUCCACAGACCCCCUGACCUCCAGAGUGAGGUUUAUUCCAGCACCGCCUGCGGCUCCUGUCAUCUGCAGAGCCGGAGGGUAAAACUAGUGCAGAAAACUGCCUCGUCAAGCGGACAGACAUUUAAAAUGAAAAAGUUGCUUCAGUCUGAAGGGUGAUUUUGCCAAAGGCUUGACUUCAGAAUGCAUGCAGAGAUAUUCCACAUCACGAACAGCUCCUCAUCAAGCAUUUAUCAUUUACACCAGGACGGUUUGAACUUUCUUAGAAUGUUUGGGAUUUCAUCAUUGAGGAACAAAAUGUUGACCUCAUGACAUCAUUUAAUUCCUGUCUCUGUAUUGAGUAGAAGGCACCUUUAAGGUGUGCACUUAAAAUGAUGAAGAGGGGCUUUUCUUUUAAUACACAUUUAAUGGCUGAGCCGAGGGACUACAUUUUUAGUAAUUAAAGUACAAAAGGCGCUUUCAAAAUGCAAAAUAAAAGUGUCAACUGAAGGGUGAGCAGUAAAAUAUAGAGGACAAGCCCCAGUUCCUGUGAGGUUUACAAUAUUCCAAAUAAAAAUGUAUGUGUGUACAUACGUAGGGAUAUAUAAUAUCUGAACAAGAUACAAUAUUGUUAUGAUUCUCACAUCAUGAUACAAUAUUAUUGCGAAUAGUCUUUCAAAUUAUUAUUAUCUUUGUGAGUAUUUAUAUAC
Molecule: long non-coding RNA, 1124 nt
Organism: Danio rerio (zebrafish)
Lineage: Eukaryota; Metazoa; Chordata; Actinopteri; Cypriniformes; Danionidae
Source: Ensembl